GCUGGCGGCAGGCCUAACACAUGCAAGUCGAGCGGUAGAGAGAAGCUUGCUUCUCUUGAGAGCGGCGGACGGGUGAGUAAUGCCUAGGAAUCUGCCUGGUAGUGGGGGAUAACGUUCGGAAACGGACGCUAAUACCGCAUACGUCCUACGGGAGAAAGCAGGGGACCUUCGGGCCUUGCGCUAUCAGACGAGCCUAGGUCGGAUUAGCUAGUUGGUGAGGUAAUGGCUCACCAAGGCGACGAUCCGUAACUGGUCUGAGAGGAUGAUCAGUCACACUGGAACUGAGACACGGUCCAGACUCCUACGGGAGGCAGCAGUGGGGAAUAUUGGACAAUGGGCGAAAGCCUGAUCCAGCCAUGCCGCGUGUGUGAAGAAGGUCUUCGGAUUGUAAAGCACUUUAAGUUGGGAGGAAGGGUUGUAGAUUAAUACUCUGCAAUUUUGACGUUACCGACAGAAUAAGCACCGGCUAACUCUGUGCCAGCAGCCGCGGUAAUACAGAGGGUGCAAGCGUUAAUCGGAAUUACUGGGCGUAAAGCGCGCGUAGGUGGUUUGUUAAGUUGGAUGUGAAAUCCCCGGGCUCAACCUGGGAACUGCAUUCAAAACUGACUGACUAGAGUAUGGUAGAGGGUGGUGGAAUUUCCUGUGUAGCGGUGAAAUGCGUAGAUAUAGGAAGGAACACCAGUGGCGAAGGCGACCACCUGGACUAAUACUGACACUGAGGUGCGAAAGCGUG
Molecule: ribosomal RNA, 733 nt
Filed under: uncultured bacterium
Lineage: Bacteria
Description: bacterial SSU rRNA
Rfam family: Bacterial small subunit ribosomal RNA
Source: RNAcentral